ACCCUGGUAGUCCAUGCCGUAAACGUUGGGCACUAGGUGUGGGGGACAUUCCACGUUCUCCGCGCCGUAGCUAACGCAUUAAGUGCCCCGCCUGGGGAGUACGGCCGCAAGGCUAAAACUCAAAGGAAUUGACGGGGGCCCGCACAAGCGGCGGAGCAUGCGGAUUAAUUCGAUGCAACGCGAAGAACCUUACCAAGGCUUGACAUUCACCGGACUACCUCAGAGAUGGGGUUUCCCUUCGGGGUCGGUGGACAGGUGGUGCAUGGUUGUCGUCAGCUCGUGUCGUGAGAUGUUGGGUUAAGUCCCGCAACGAGCGCAACCCUCGUUCUAUGUUGCCAGCACGUGAUGGUGGGGACUCAUAGGAGACUGCCGGGGUCAACUCGGAGGAAGGUGGGGAUGACGUCAAAUCAUCAUGCCCCUUAUGUCUUGGGCUUCACGCAUGCUACAAUGGCCGGUACAAAGGGUUGCGAUACUGUGAGGUGGAGCUAAUCCCAAAAAGCCGGUCUCAGUUCG
Molecule: ribosomal RNA, 513 nt
Filed under: bacterium WP-4
Lineage: Bacteria
Description: bacterial SSU rRNA
Rfam family: Bacterial small subunit ribosomal RNA
Source: RNAcentral